GGAGAGGUGGCAGAGUGGUUGAAUGCGGCGGUCUUGAAAACCGUUGAAGGUUUAUAUCUUCCGGGGGUUCAAAUCCCUCCCUCUCCGCCA
This 90-nucleotide transfer RNA is filed under the name Actinomycetota bacterium. RNAcentral describes it as "Actinobacteria bacterium tRNA-Ser". It matches the Rfam family "tRNA". From Rfam's summary of the family: Transfer RNA (tRNA) molecules are approximately 80 nucleotides in length. Their secondary structure includes four short double-helical elements and three loops (D, anti-codon, and T loops). Further hydrogen bonds mediate the characteristic L-shaped molecular structure. tRNAs have two regions of fundamental functional importance: the anti-codon, which is responsible for specific mRNA codon recognition, and the 3' end, to which the tRNAs corresponding amino acid is attached (by aminoacyl-tRNA synthetases). tRNAs cope with the degeneracy of the genetic code in two manners: having more than one tRNA (with a specific anti-codon) for a particular amino acid; and 'wobble' base-pairing, i.e. permitting non-standard base-pairing at the 3rd anti-codon position. The record is from RNAcentral. RNAcentral also lists the same sequence under 1 other name. Lineage: Bacteria; Bacillati; Actinomycetota.